RNAcentral lists this ribosomal RNA (174 nucleotides) under uncultured bacterium. RNAcentral's name for it is "partial 16S ribosomal RNA". It matches the Rfam family "Bacterial small subunit ribosomal RNA", at positions 1327 to 1500 of the family's 1533-position model. The record is from RNAcentral.
UGGAAUUGCUAGUAAUCGCGGAUCAGCAUGCCGCGGUGAAUACGUUCCCUGGCCUUGUACACACCGCCCGUCACACCAUGGGAGCCGGUAAUACCCGAAGUCAGUAGCCUAACCGCAAGGAGGACGCGGCCGAAGGUGGGUUUGGUAAUUGGGGUGAAGUCGUAACAAGGUAGC